RNAcentral lists this ribosomal RNA (578 nucleotides) under uncultured bacterium. Its description in RNAcentral is "bacterial SSU rRNA". It matches the Rfam family "Bacterial small subunit ribosomal RNA", at positions 338 to 916 of the family's 1533-position model. The record is from RNAcentral.
CCUACGGGAGGCAGCAGUAAGGAAUAUUGGACAAUGGACGCAAGUCUGAUCCAGCCAUGCCGCGUGAAGGAUUAAGGCCCUCUGGGUUGUAAACUUCUUUUAUAGGGGACGAAAAAAGGGCUUUCUAGCUCGUCUGACGGUACCCUAUGAAUAAGCACCGGCUAACUCCGUGCCAGCAGCCGCGGUAAUACGGAGGGUGCAAGCGUUAUCCGGAUUCACUGGGUUUAAAGGGUGCGUAGGCGGGCAGUUAAGUCAGUGGUGAAAUCUUCGAGCUCAACUCGGAAACUGCCAUUGAUACUAUCUGUCUUGAAUACUGUGGAGGUGAGCGGAAUAUGUCAUGUAGCGGUGAAAUGCUUAGAUAUGACAUAGAACACCGAUUGCGAAGGCAGCUCGCUACACAAAUAUUGACGCUGAGGCACGAAAGCGUGGGGAUCAAACAGGAUUAGAUACCCUGGUAGUCCACGCCCUAAACUAUGGAUACUCGACAUUUGCGAUACACAGUAAGUGUCUGAGCGAAAGCAUUAAGUAUCCCACCUGGGAAGUACGACCGCAAGGUUGAAACUCAAAGGAAUUGACGG